UAACAAGGAUUCCCCUAGUAACUGCGAGUGAAGCGGGAAAAGCUCAAAUUUAAAAUCUGGCGGUCUUCGAUCGUCCGAGUUGUAGUCUGGAGAAGCGUCUUCCGCGCUGGACCGUGUACAAGUCUCUUGGAACAGAGCGUCGUAGAGGGUGAGAAUCCCGUCUUUGACACGGACUACCAGUGCUUUGUGAUGCGCUCUCAAAGAGUCGAGUUGUUUGGGAAUGCAGCUCAAAAUGGGUGGUAAAUUCCAUCUAAAGCUAAAUAUUGGCGAGAGACCGAUAGCGAACAAGUACCGUGAGGGAAAGAUGAAAAGCACUUUGGAAAGAGAGUUAAACAGUACGUGAAAUUGCUGAAAGGGAAACGAUUGAAGUCAGUCGCGUCGUCUAGAACUCAACCUUGCCUCGGCUCGGUGCAUUUUCUAGUUGACGGGCCAGCAUCAGUUUUGACCGUCGGAAAAAGGUCCUCGGAAUGUGGCACCUUCGGGUGUGUUAUAGCCUUGGGUCGUAUACGACGGUUGGGACUGAGGACCGCAGCACGCCUUUAUGGCCGGGGUUCGCCCACGUACGUGCUUAGGAUGCGGCGUAA
This 584-nucleotide ribosomal RNA is filed under the name Phlebia radiata. RNAcentral describes it as "LSU rRNA". It matches the Rfam family "Eukaryotic large subunit ribosomal RNA", at positions 66 to 633 of the family's 3401-position model. Lineage: Eukaryota; Fungi; Basidiomycota; Agaricomycetes; Polyporales; Meruliaceae. The record is from RNAcentral.